UUCAAUCCCUGAAGGAACUGUUAGGCUUGA
Molecule: non-coding RNA, 30 nt
Filed under: Rattus norvegicus (Norway rat)
Lineage: Eukaryota; Metazoa; Chordata; Mammalia; Rodentia; Muridae
Source: RNAcentral